Long non-coding RNA from Oncorhynchus keta (chum salmon), 1577 nucleotides. RefSeq lists it as uncharacterized. The transcript has 2 exons. NCBI's taxonomy places the organism in Eukaryota, Metazoa, Chordata, Actinopteri, Salmoniformes, Salmonidae. The record is from RefSeq and is a predicted model, not a curated record.
CUCAAUACAUCCCAGACCUCCCCCUCUCUCUCUCUCAUGGCCUCAAUACAUCCCAGACCUCCCCCUCUCUCUCUCUCAUUGCCUCAAUACACCCCAGACCUCCCCUCUCUCCCCCUCUCUCUUUCUCUCAUGGCCUCAAUACACCCCAGACCUCCCCCUCUCUCUCUCUCAUGGUCUCAAUACACCUCCCCCUCUCUCUCAUGGCCUCAAUACACCUCCCCCUCUCUCUCUCAAUACACCCUAGACUUCCCCCUCUCUCUCUCUCUCUCUCUGCACAACUGCUGUUGAAGGAACAACAUCAUCCAGUAUUUUAGCCUCAAGACAAAUCAAACUGGUGUUGUCCCAAAUGGCUCCCUCUUCACUACUUUUAACCAGGCCCCAUCGGGGAUUUUAGUCGAAAGUAGUGUACAAUGUAGUUGAGAAUAGUUGACCAUUUUGGUACGGCGCCAUUAUACCAACCAACCACCAACUGUAACACAGCAAUCCAUGUCUCGUAUUUUAACAGGCGAUCCUAUUAAUGUCUACAUUCACUGAAUGACUAGGGUACCAAGUACUCCAUCCAGAAUGAUCCCCUGCACUACGUUCUGAUUAGAGCAAAGGGGGUGCCGUUUGGGAGGCCCAAUUACUAUCAGUAUAUCUAUCAGACAUGAAGGUCUAGGCCCUACUCUAGGAUGUCAACAGGUCCUGGUGUAGGCCUUACAGUAGGGUGUCAACAGGUCCUGGUGUAGGCCUUACUGUAGGGUGUCAACAUGUCCUGGUGUAGGCCUUACUGUAGGGUGUCAACAGGUCCUGGUGUAGGCCUUACUGUAGGGUGUCAACAGGUCCUGGUGUAGGCCUUACUGUAGGGUGUCAACAGGUCCUGGUGUAGGCCUUACUGUAGGGUGUCAACAGGUCCUGGUGUAGGCCUUACUGUAGGGUGUCAACAGGUCCUGGUGUAGGCCUUACUGUAGGGUGUCAACAGGUCCUGGUGUAGGCCUUACUGUAGGGUGUCAACAGGUCCUGGUGUAGGCCUUACUGUAGGGUGUCAACAGGUCCUGGUCUAGGCCUUACUGUAGGGUGUCAACAGGUCCUGGUGUAGGCCUUACUGUAGGGUGUCAACAGGUCCUGGUGUAGGCCUUACUGUAGGAUGUCAACAGGUCCCGGUGUAGGCCUUACUGUAGGGUGUCAACAGGUCCUGGUGUAGGCCUUACUGUAGGAUGUCAACAGGUCCUGGUGUAGGCCUUACUGUAGGGUGUCAACAGGUCCUGGUGUAGGCCUUACUGUAGGGUGUCAACAGGUCCUGGUGUAGGCCUUACUGUAGGGUGUCAACAGGUCCUGGUGUAGGCCUUACUGUAGGGUGUCAACAGGUCCUGGUCUAGGCCUUACUGUAGGGUGUCAACAGGUCCUGGUGUAGGCCUUACUGUAGGGUGUCAACAGGUCCUGGUCUAGGCCUUACUGUAGGGUGUCAACAGGUCCUGGUCUAGGCCUUACUGUAGGGUGUCAACAGGUCCCAGCCCUGCCAGACAUCACUCAUCUUAUACAAAAAACAAAAACAAUUAUCCUGUUUAUUAAAAACCAAAUAAAUCUGUGAUCAUGAA